UGGGGCGGGCGCAUGAUCGCUCCGGCCCGCGGCCGGGGAGGAAAGUCCGAACACCACAGGGCACGGUGGUUCGUAACGCGAACUCCGGGUAACCGGGGGAAAGUGCCACAGAAAAUACACCGCCGAUGAGCCGCUUCCGGGCGGAAACAGGCAAGGUUGAAAUGGCGAGGUAAGAGCUCACCGCUUCCAUGGUGACAUGGAAGGCAGGGUAAACCCCACCGGGUGCAAGACCAAAUAGGGAAACGCUUGAAGGCUGCCCGCCUGAUGUUUCCGGGUAGGUUGCACGAGAUGCCGGGCGACCGGCAUCCCAGAUAAAUGAUCAUGGUCUGCGUAUGCGGAAACAGAAUUCGGCUUACAGCCCGCCCCAUUUU
RNAcentral lists this RNase P RNA (371 nucleotides) under Desulfobacteraceae bacterium. Its description in RNAcentral is "RNase P RNA component class A". It matches the Rfam family "Bacterial RNase P class A". Rfam says of the family: Ribonuclease P (RNase P) is a ubiquitous endoribonuclease, found in archaea, bacteria and eukarya as well as chloroplasts and mitochondria. Its best characterised activity is the generation of mature 5'-ends of tRNAs by cleaving the 5'-leader elements of precursor-tRNAs. Cellular RNase Ps are ribonucleoproteins. Lineage: Bacteria; Pseudomonadati; Thermodesulfobacteriota; Desulfobacteria; Desulfobacterales; Desulfobacteraceae. The record is from RNAcentral.